Molecule: ribosomal RNA, 246 nt
Filed under: uncultured bacterium
Lineage: Bacteria
Description: partial small subunit ribosomal RNA
Rfam family: Bacterial small subunit ribosomal RNA
Source: RNAcentral
AGAAUCAACGCUGGCGGCGUGCCUAACACAUGCAAGUCGAACGAGAAAGUGGAGCAAUCCAUGAGUAAAGUGGCGCACGGGUGAGUAACACGUGACUAACCUACCCUUGAGUGGGGAAUAAACUUCGGGAAACCGAGGCUAAUACCGCAUAACACCUACGGGUCAAAGGAGCAAUUCGCUUAAGGAGGGGGUCGCGGCAGAUUAGUUAGUUGGCGGGGUAAUGGCCCACCAAGACAGUGAUCUGUA